GGCAACCAGCUCUUCUGUGGCUCACACUCCGAAAGACGCAGCCCAGGCUUGUUGCUCAGGGUCAACAGUUCUCAACAGCUCCUGCGGCCUAACAGUGGGGCGGUCCGAACAGCAGCAGGCCCUGUUUUAGACACUGAGGCCACAGCUGAUGGAGAGACGAGAUCCCUGCUCCCACAUCAGUGACGGAAAUGAAUGAUCACAGCGAUUUCAGAUAGGGUGAUGGGACUGGGGUGAGAGGAGAAGGCAAACACAUUAGGAGGUCAGGGAAAGCCUCACUGAGACGGUGACAUCAGAAUAAGAAGUUGCUGGCCUGAAAUGCACGCAGCUGCAGACAAUAGAAUAUGAAGGAGAAAGGAAGAGGUCGGAGCGGAAGAUGUGCUAGGAGCCACCAUGUUCAGGAAGAGAUGACAGCUGCUUGGACCAGGCUGGUGAUCUCAGCAACUCCCAUGGAUUUAACAGGCGCUCAAGGCAGAGACCACGAAACCCCUCUCCCCUCCUCAUACGCCCACAUCCAUUCUGUUACCAAGCCCCAAAUACUCCACCUCCAGGACCUACCACGUAUGCUGCUUUCUGUCCCUCUUCCUUCCUCCUAUUGCAUCUCACCUACACCCUUCCCAUAUCUGUGUAACUGGCCUCCACCCCAUUAAUCUGUCAUUUAUACAAUC
Long non-coding RNA from Lemur catta (Ring-tailed lemur), 665 nucleotides. RefSeq lists it as uncharacterized. Lineage: Eukaryota; Metazoa; Chordata; Mammalia; Primates; Lemuridae. The record is from RefSeq and is a predicted model, not a curated record. The transcript is spliced from 4 exons.